This 259-nucleotide ribosomal RNA is filed under the name uncultured bacterium. RNAcentral's name for it is "partial 16S ribosomal RNA". It matches the Rfam family "Bacterial small subunit ribosomal RNA", at positions 527 to 779 of the family's 1533-position model. The record is from RNAcentral.
CGGAGGGGCUAGCGUUGUUCGGAAUUACUGGGGCGUAAAAGCGCACGUAGGCGGACUGGAAAGUUGGGGGUGAAAUACCCGGGGCGUCAACCUCGGAACUGCCUUCAAAACUAAUCAGUCUGGAGUUCGAGAGAGGUGAGUGGAAUUCCGAGUGUAGAGGUGAAAUUCGUAGAUAUUCGGAGGAACACCAGUGGCGAAGGCGGCUCACUGGCUCGAUACUGACGCUGAGGUGCGAAAGCGUGGGGGAGCAAACAGGAUU